AUUGAACGCUGGCGGCAGGCCUAACACAUGCAAGUCGAGCGGAUGAAGGGAGCUUGCUCCUGGAUUCAGCGGCGGACGGGUGAGUAAUGCCUAGGAAUCUGCCUGGUAGUGGGGGAUAACGUCCGGAAACGGGCGCUAAUACCGCAUACGUCCUGAGGGAGAAAGUGGGGGAUCUUCGGACCUCACGCUAUCAGAUGAGCCAGGUCGGAUUAGCUAGUUGGUGGGGUAAAGGCCUACCAAGGCGACGAUCCGUAACUGGUCUGAGAGGAUGAUCAGUCACACUGGAACUGAGACACGGUCCAGACUCCUACGGGAGGCAGCAGUGGGGAAUAUUGGACAAUGGGCGAAAGCCUGAUCCAGCCAUGCCGCGUGUGUGAAGAAGGUCUUCGGAUUGUAAAGCACUUUAAGUUGGGAGGAAGGGCAGUAAGUUAAUACCUUGCUGUUUUGACGUUACCAACAGAAUAAGCACCGGCUAACUUCGUG
This 483-nucleotide ribosomal RNA is filed under the name uncultured bacterium. RNAcentral describes it as "partial 16S ribosomal RNA". It matches the Rfam family "Bacterial small subunit ribosomal RNA", at positions 30 to 507 of the family's 1533-position model. The record is from RNAcentral.